UACGAAGGGGGCUAGCGUUGUUCGGAAUUACUGGGCGUAAAGCGCGUGUAGGCGGGUCUUUAAGUCAGGGGUGAAAUGCCAAGGCUCAACCUUGGAACUGCCUUUGAUACUGGAGACCUUGAGUCCGGGAGAGGUGAGUGGAAUUGCGAGUGUAGAGGUGAAAUUCGUAGAUAUUCGGAAGAACACCAGUGGCGAAGGCGGCUCACUGGACUGGUAUUGACGCUGAGGUGCGAAAGCGUGGGGAGCAAACAGG
RNAcentral lists this ribosomal RNA (253 nucleotides) under uncultured bacterium. RNAcentral's name for it is "partial 16S ribosomal RNA". It matches the Rfam family "Bacterial small subunit ribosomal RNA", at positions 524 to 776 of the family's 1533-position model. The record is from RNAcentral.